CAGCAGCCGCGGUAAUUCCAGCUCCAAUAGCGUAUAUUAAAGUUGUUGCAGUUAAAAAAGCUCGUAGUUGAAUUUCGGGAUCAAUAUGUUGGUCGUGCCUUGGUACGUACUAAUUUAUUGGUUUCUUCCUUCUGACGAACCAUGAUGUCAUUAAUUUGGUGUUAUGGGGGAAUCAGGACUGUUACUUUGAAAAAAAUUAGAGUGUUUAAAGCAGGCUCACGCUUGAAUACAUUAGCAUGGAAUAAUGAAAUAGGACGUUUGAUUCUAUUUUUGUUGGUUUCUAGGAUCGACGUAAUGAUUAAUAGGGAUAGUUGGGGGCAUUAGUAUUCAAUUGUCAGAGGUGAAAUUCUUGGAUUUAUUGAAGACUAACUACUGCGAAAGCAUUUGCCAAGGAUGUUUUCAUUAAUCAAAGAACGAAAGUCAGGGGAUCGAAGACGAUCAGAUACCGUCGUAGUCUUAACCAUAAACUAUAGCCGACUAGGGAUCGGAUGAUGUUAAUUUUUAUGUACUCAUUCGGCUC
RNAcentral lists this ribosomal RNA (520 nucleotides) under uncultured Glomus. Its description in RNAcentral is "SSU rRNA". It matches the Rfam family "Eukaryotic small subunit ribosomal RNA", at positions 568 to 1086 of the family's 1831-position model. Lineage: Eukaryota; Fungi; Glomeromycota; Glomeromycetes; Glomerales; Glomeraceae. The record is from RNAcentral.